GUGGAUUAGAUACCCUGGUAGUCCACGCGGUAAACGAUGUUCACUAGGUGUUGGGGGUAUUGACCCCCUCAGUGCCGGAGCUAACGCAUUAAGUGAACCGCCUGGGGAGUACGGUCGCAAGACUAAAACUCAAAGGAAUUGACGGGGGCCCGCACAAGCGGUGGAGCAUGUGGUUUAAUUCGAUGCAACGCGAAGAACCUUACCUGGGCUUGACAUUUCAGGAAUCCCCUGGAAACAGGGGAGUGCCCGCAAGGGAGCCUGAGAACAGGUGCUGCACGGCCGUCGUCAACU
Molecule: ribosomal RNA, 291 nt
Filed under: uncultured bacterium
Lineage: Bacteria
Description: partial 16S ribosomal RNA
Rfam family: Bacterial small subunit ribosomal RNA
Source: RNAcentral